GUGAUUUUGGAUUUAGGAAUGGGUUUUAUGUUGAAAUUUCCUUUUUGUGAUUUUGGAUUUAGAAAUGGAUUUUCAUUUGAAAUUUCUUUUUUCUUUUCUUCUUUUUUAUUUUUAUUGUUUGUCGAUGAGAUCCAAGGGCGGAGUCAGGAUGAGAAGAAGAUAUUGAGAGGUAAAGAUGGGACACCUAUCUGGGCAAUGUUGGGAUGUCUAGGCUUGGGUGGAGACGUAGACUUAUGAAACAGGUCAAUUAAGCAGAUAAGAUUCAAAAAGAAAACUCCACAUCUGUUGCCAGCAAUGCUCAUGGGGAGAAGUAUAGGAAACCGAAGCCUACAAAUUCGAAGCCUUUUAGGUUUAGAACUGAUGAAAGACGGAUGUUUAAGGUGAUUGGAGAAAAAAGCUCAUGCACCACUUAAGGAGAUCACCUUAGUCAGGACUCCAGGAGCAAAGUCAACAAGCAAACAUCAAAAUGUGAUACAAGUAUACUUGGGAGCUACAAAUGUUGUGUGUGUGGUUUGAAUUUGAACAAUUACAUUGUGUAUCACCGUCAUAUAGGCAAAUUUGUUAUGUGUGAUGGUGUAUUUACGCAUGACUGAAAUGGAUAAUCUAAUUUUAUGCAAUCUAUAAUAUUGGGUUUCUCUAAUUUUCUGCUUUUUUGUGAUUUAUUUGAUGAAAGUUUCAAUCUUCAGCAACAAGGAGAAAUGAGUCGGUCGGAGGACUCUGAAAGAUGAUUGUUGUUGUUGUUGCUAUAGAUAUGCUGGCGGAUCAUAUGGAGGGAGAGUUAAGCUUGGAUUGAGAAGUGGGAUAAUCCUCUGCAAUGCUAUCAAUAAAGUUCAAACUGGAGCUGUGCCCAAGUCAACAAAAAAUCUUCAUUGAAUACAUAAUGUUUGAUGGAGUGACUCAUGAAAAGCAGCGUGCACACCUACACGGGAAAAACUCGGGAACUUGCUAGAGACAUUUCAAGUGAUCAUGUAAUGCUUUUCUCAUGCUGAGAUUGUAGGCCAAUCAAUAAGCAACUGAAAAACAGAAGUUCUUCAUCACAUGUUAGUUUUGAUCCAUUUCUUAAAAUCCUAUGCGUGGUACAAGAAAAACAUUUCUUUAGCAGCAAAGAAAAAAGAAGAGUGAAGUACUGAACAACAAUGUGAAAAGUUGGGACAUAGAAAACAAGAUAUUUUUUUGUGUAUUAUAACUGUGUGGAUGUAAAUAAGAUAAUUUUUAUGUAUGAUUUGUUCUUUAUAGAACAUAGGAUGUCAAUAGAUUUUGAUAUGGAUGUAAAUAAAUUUUUACAAGUCCCACACAUAACACAUUUAACAAAGUUUUAAAACCCACGGCAUCACGUGGGCUCUUUUA
This is a non-coding RNA of Malus domestica (apple), 1347 nucleotides long. The record is from RefSeq and is a predicted model, not a curated record. Lineage: Eukaryota; Viridiplantae; Streptophyta; Magnoliopsida; Rosales; Rosaceae.